AACGAACGCUGGCGGCGUGCCUAACACAUGCAAGUCGUGCGAGAAAGUUCCUUCGGGAGCGAGUAAAGCGGCGCACGGGUGAGUAACACGUAGGUAACCUGCCCCCCAGUCUGGAACAACUAGAGGAAACUCUAGCUAAUGCCGGAUGAGACCACGAUCCCUUCGGGGGUUGCGGCCAAGAUGGCCUCUACUUGUAAGCUAUCGCUGAGGGAUGGGCCUGCGGGCCAUUAGCUUGUUGGUGAGGUAACGGCUCACCAAGGCUGUGAUGGCUAGCUGGUCUGAGAGGAUGACCAGCCACACUGGGACUGGAGACACGGCCCGAGACUCCUACGGGAGCAGCAGUGGGGAAUAUUGCGCAAUGGGGCAAAGGCCUGACGCAGCGACGCCGCGUGGGUGAU
Molecule: ribosomal RNA, 398 nt
Filed under: uncultured bacterium
Lineage: Bacteria
Description: bacterial SSU rRNA
Rfam family: Bacterial small subunit ribosomal RNA
Source: RNAcentral